RNAcentral lists this ribosomal RNA (448 nucleotides) under uncultured bacterium. RNAcentral describes it as "bacterial SSU rRNA". It matches the Rfam family "Bacterial small subunit ribosomal RNA", at positions 355 to 825 of the family's 1533-position model. The record is from RNAcentral.
UGGGGAAUAUUGGACAAUGGGCGCAAGCCUGAUCCAGCCAUGCCGCGUGAGUGAUGAAGGCCUUCGGGUUGUAAAGCUCUUUUCGCCGGGGAAGAUAAUGACGGUACCCGGAGAAGAAGCCUCGGCUAACUCCGUGCCAGCAGCCGCGGUAAGACGGAGGAGGCUAGCGUUGUUCGGAAUUACUGGGCGUAAAGCGCACGUAGGCGGCCCGACAAGUCGGAUGUGAAAGCCCGGGGCUUAACCCCGGAACAGCAUCCGAAACUAGCGGGCUCGAGACCGGGAGAGGAGAGUGGAAUUCCCAGUGUAGAGGUGAAAUUCGUAGAUAUUGGGAAGAACACCUGCGGCGAAGGCGGCUCUCUGGUCCGGUACUGACGCUCAAGUGCGAAAGCGUGGGGAGCAAACAGGAUUAGAUACCCUUGUAGUCCCUGAGCGGGCUGGCAAGGCGCAU